UUGCAAUGAUGAAGGUUCCAAAACCAUUCGUAGUUUCCACCAGAGGUUGAAAAAAAAACCAGUGUUGGCUUAAAUUACCUUCCUUGGAUGUCUGAGCGA
Molecule: small nucleolar RNA, 99 nt
Filed under: Ophiophagus hannah (king cobra)
Lineage: Eukaryota; Metazoa; Chordata; Lepidosauria; Squamata; Elapidae
Description: Small nucleolar RNA SNORD14
Rfam family: Small nucleolar RNA SNORD14
About the family: U14 small nucleolar RNA (U14 snoRNA) is required for early cleavages of eukaryotic precursor rRNAs.
Source: Rfam by way of RNAcentral